Long non-coding RNA from Ananas comosus (pineapple), 691 nucleotides. RefSeq lists it as uncharacterized. The transcript has 2 exons. The record is from RefSeq and is a predicted model, not a curated record. NCBI's taxonomy places the organism in Eukaryota, Viridiplantae, Streptophyta, Magnoliopsida, Poales, Bromeliaceae.
AACAUAUUUUCUGGUGUUGAUUCAUCCUUUGGUAGGUCAUUGGCAUAUGGGCUCCUCAGUGGUCAAAGGAUUCCAUCAACACUGAACACCAGCUUGCCUUCCUCUUUGCCUUGGAUGCACAUCGACGUUUGGGAAUAUUGGCGGCUUUGCUAUAGUUCGACAAGUGCGUCCAACUUAUAGUGUGGUACUGACACGAAGAUAUUUCUAGCAGGAGUUUAGCUGCGCAUCUUAUUUUAACUCUGGUUUGUACUUCAAGAUUUGUAGCAUGGAGUUAGCUUAUGUACUUCAUUGUUUUGGAGGUGUCGAGGUUAUCGUCUAUCUCACUGCAAGUUAUCUUUCCUUUCAAAUGGUUAUUGGACCAAUCCUCACAAAUUGGAAGCUUGAGGAGAAGCUGCUAGUUUUGUUGUUGUUUGGACCCGAUUUGAAGACUGGGAUGGCUAAUUUGGGAUUUCUACAAUUUUAAUAAGCUUGCCUCAUAUAUGUCUCGAUUAGGUCCCAACUCCUUGAGGUGUAUAGCAUUCAUCCGUCAUAUUUUGUUUCCGGCCAUAUGUCCCUUGUUUCCGGCCAUAUGUCCCUGAUCAAAUGUUUCGUGUCGUAUGAUGCUUAGCAUUCCAAUAGUAGGUGUGACGAAAUUUGUUGGUCCUGCCGGGUGUGUAUUUAAAACAUAUCCAUUGACCUGUACUUUUAUCCA